AAAAGAAACUACAAGGGAUUCCCCUAGUAACUGCGAGUGAAGCGGGAAAAGCUCAAAUUUGAAAUCUGGCGGCUCUGCCGUCCGAGUUGUAUUCUGGAGAAGCGUCUUCUGUGCCGGACCGUGUACAAGUCCCUUGGAACAGGGCGUCAUAGAGGGUGAGAAUCCCGUCUUCGACACGGACCCCCGGCGCUAUGUGAUGCGCUCUCGAAGAGUCGAGUUGUUUGGGAAUGCAGCUCAAAAUGGGUGGUAAAUUCCAUCUAAAGCUAAAUAUUGGCGAGAGACCGAUAGCGAACAAGUACCGUGAGGGAAAGAUGAAAAGCACUUUGGAAAGAGAGUAAAACAGUACGUGAAAUUGUUGAAAGGGAAACGCUUGAAGUCAGUCGCGUCUGACGGAACUCAGCCUUGCUUCUGCUUGGUGCACUUUCCGUCCUGACGGGCCAGCAUCGGUUUUGGGCGGCGGACACUGGCGUGGGGAAGGUGGCAGCUCCGGCUGUGUUAUAGCCCCUCGUCGCAAACGUCGUCUGGGACCGAGGAAUCCGGCACGCGCCCGGGGACUCGGGCGCGAGCCUGGGAUGUUGGCGUAAUGGCUUUAAACGACCCGUCUUGAAACACGGACCAAGGAGUGCUACGUGCUCGCGAGUGUUCGGGUGGAAAACCCGAGCGCGCAAUGAAAGUGAAAGUCGGUACCCCUCGCGGGGGCAACGACGCCCGAGCCUGAUGUUUUCGGACGGCCUUGCGGUAGAGCGAGCGUGUUGCGACCCGAAAGAUGGUGAACUAUUCCUGAGGAGGGCGAAGCCAGAGGAAACUCUGGUGGAGGCUCGUAGCGGUUCUGACGUGCAAAUCGAUCGCAGGACUUGGGUAUAGGGGCGAAAGACUAAUCGAACCAUCUAGUAGCUGGUUCCUGC
Molecule: ribosomal RNA, 905 nt
Filed under: Trechisporales sp. G2062
Lineage: Eukaryota; Fungi; Basidiomycota; Agaricomycetes; Trechisporales
Description: eukaryotic LSU rRNA
Rfam family: Eukaryotic large subunit ribosomal RNA
Source: RNAcentral